CUAUGGCCCUGGGCCUGGUGGGGACCAUGCUGCCCUCUCCUCUGCACCCGUCAGCUGGGCCAUUUCCGAGGCCUCUGCUCUGUUCUCCUCCACUGUCAUUUCGAUUCCAGGGGCCCUUCCUGCCAUUCGUCCAGGGUCUUACCCCCCACGGCAAAAGCGUCAGUGUUGGUCUUUCAAAGCUGACCCUGCGUCAAGCUCUCUGAUGGCUCCCCACUGCCUUUUGCUCACGUUCAGGUCCCCUACCAAAGCCACCACAGCCUCCCCUGAGCGCUCAGCCCCGGUGCACAUUCCUCUCUCCUACUUUUCUCCAGCCUGGCUCUAUUUUUUUUUUUCUUGCCUCUGGGCCUCCACAUGUCAUAUUCUUUCAACCCGAACACUCAUUUCGCUGCCUCUUCACCAGGCUGACUCUCGUCGUCCUUCAGGACUCAGCGUGGCUACCCCUUUGUCCAGGCAGUCUUCCCUGACUGCCAGGUGGGUUCGGCAAGCCGCCUAGGCCUCUGUCACCGCAUCUCCACUGUGUGGUACUCGUCUGCCUACUUGUCUCUACAGUCAGGUCUGGGAGGGCAAGUCUUGCAAAUCAGCAUGUCCCUAGGAAUUUAGCUGAGUGCUGGACACAGCGCGUGGCACGCCCUUAGAAAUGUUUGUCAUAUGUUGACUGAAAGGAGCUUCCUUCCUGCCCCGACGGUUCCCUGGAAACCCUUUCUUAAGGCAGCUGGUCUGGGCAACCUGGAAAUGGAAACGGAGGAAGGGGGCGAGGGGAAGCUCGCUGCAAACCUGGGGCCUGGAGGCCCUCCCUUUAAUCCUUCACUUCUCUUUCAUGUUCUGUCUACACCCCCUGCCCAGGCCUGAAUGGCCAGGCCACAGAGAAGAGGAGAGAGAAAGCCUUCCCGUGUGUAUCCGGGGCAGUGAGAAGGGCUCCCACAAACGCCAGACCUUCAUUGGCCCUCCAGUAGGUCACAGUGGGGGGCUCCCACUGGCUGUGAGUCUUGGUCUGCAAGGAGCUGGAGUUCGCCUGGGUGAGUCUGCCUAUGAAUUCCGCCCCGCCACGAGGGGCACGAAGGCUGGCACCCACACACCUUCCCCACCUCAUAUCCUCCUGUCCCCAGCAAAGGCUUGGAGAAGGGAAGAGAGACAGGGAAAGUGAGGGUGAAGUGAUCCUCAGACCCCUAGCCCCACCAGCCCUGGGGCCUUCAGGGGGACAUGUCCCCAUUCUGAUUUCAGAUCAGCCCACAUGGAAACACACUGCAUCCCCACUCACAGCUUAAUACCCUGCCCCUUCCUGUGUCCACUCUCUCCAUCCUUCUUAUGCACCCGUUUCUUUGAGAAGAGCCUUUCUAGAAUAGUCCCUGGUGUUUUCUCCCCAUCUGUCCUUUCUAUUUGCUCUAGCUUGGUGACUUGAAAAAAAAUCCGCUCUUCCCCAUCCAAGAGUACUGUGACUGCAGACACGAUGUCUCUCCCUUUUCACAGAGUCCUUCUUGACCUACCCUUGGAAUAGCCCACCAAAGCCCAAGCCUUUGACAACAGGGCCUCAUAUAACCACACAAUGCAUCUAUUUAUGGGCAACUUCCUUCUACCCAGGUUUUUCUUCUGGGCCCACUGCUCCCCCUAAUGCUCCUGCCUCCAGGAGCUGAGAGACUUACUAGGGUCCACGUAGGCCCAGCUGGGGUGGAGAGGCACAGCUGAAGGGGCUGGGGGGAAGGGCCCUGCCUUCAGCCCCUCCCCAGAGGUGGCCUCCUCGUAGGAGGGCGGGGCCGAGGGCACUGCUGGAGUCUCCUUCUUCUCAGCAUUGGCCUGCUGCUGCCCCUCCGUCCCGGGGGCCUUAUUAGCCACGGAGAUCUGUGGAGUAGGGGCAGACAGAGACAGUCACCAGGGAAAGGGUGCCUUCCAAAUCCUCCUCACCAGCUUCUGCUUUCUGGAACUUCCAUGGGUAUUCUCACCGGCUCCUAAUUUCUGGGACUUCCCUGGGUACUUUCUCACCUAGAAGGGUGGGGGUACAGACAAGAGUCUCCCUGUUUUGUGCAGGGUAUGCAAUAUUAUUCAGCCUUAAGAAAGAAGGAAAUCCUCCCAUUUGCAACAACAUAGGUGAACCUGGAGGAUGUUAUGCUAAGUGAAAUGAGCGAGACACAGAAAGGUAAAAACUGCAUGAUAUCAGUUAUAUUGGGGAUGGAAAGUAGCCAAACUCAUAGAAGAACAGAGCAGAAUGGUGGUUGCCAGGGGUGGGGGGUGGGGGGAAUGGGAAGAUGGUGGUCAAAGGGCACAAAGUUUCCAUUGUGCAAGAUGAAUAAGUUCUGGAGAUCUAAUGUACAGCAUGGUGAUUAUAGUUAACAAUACUGUAUUGUAUACUUGAAAUUUGCUGAGAGGGUGGAUCUUAAGCUUUCUCAUCACACACACAUAAAGGUAACUAACUGUGAAGUGAUAGCGUUGUUCACUGGCUCGACUGUGAUCAUUUCACCAUGUAUACAUAUAUCUAAACAUCAAGCUGUAUACCAUAAAUAUAUAUGUAUAAAUAUAUAAAUAAAUUAUAUAUAUAUAUAUAUAUAUAUA
Long non-coding RNA from Canis lupus familiaris (dog), 2544 nucleotides. RefSeq lists it as uncharacterized. NCBI's taxonomy places the organism in Eukaryota, Metazoa, Chordata, Mammalia, Carnivora, Canidae. The record is from RefSeq and is a predicted model, not a curated record. The transcript is spliced from 2 exons.